CACGCGAGAUAACUGGCUUGCACCUUGUUGGGUUUUUUCAAGGGCAGAGGGGAGAUUCCUGGCGUGCAUCUACUUAAUUUGAAGAAGAACAUCACCUGUCUGCUUAAGUUCUGGUCAAGGGGCUCAUCGGCUAUCAAGUUAUAGAUUUCAGUGGCUAAUAGAAGACACUGCUGAGGUCAGACGAGAGUGCAUCCUCAAAGGUCUGUGUGUACCUAAAUGAAGAUCCAGAGAAGCUGGUGAGGGAGUACAUGGACGUUGAUGAAUGUGCAGAAAUGGCCAAAGCCGAGACUGUCCUCGGAAUCGUCAUUUGAGCAGAGGUGCAGAGGCUGCCGAUGCACAUCUGGAUGUUGGGAUUGUCCUGGAGGAGGUGGAAGUUAUGAACAGCUUGGGCAGUGUAUCUUCUGCAAUAGUGAUGCUGCUGGGACUAAUCUACGCACUAAACUUGAGCUACCCUCAAGUUUAGUGUGUUCAGCACUCAACUUGCUCAGUAACUCAAGCAUACCUUUGAAGUAAUACAGAAAAUAAUAAUGAAAUUGGAUGGAAAGAACUUAUCAAAGAAAGCACAAGUUCUCAAUAUGAAACUCGCCGCUAAGUUGAGU
Long non-coding RNA from Poeciliopsis prolifica (blackstripe livebearer), 599 nucleotides. RefSeq lists it as uncharacterized. The transcript is spliced from 4 exons. Lineage: Eukaryota; Metazoa; Chordata; Actinopteri; Cyprinodontiformes; Poeciliidae. The record is from RefSeq and is a predicted model, not a curated record.